This 253-nucleotide ribosomal RNA is filed under the name uncultured bacterium. RNAcentral's name for it is "partial 16S ribosomal RNA". It matches the Rfam family "Bacterial small subunit ribosomal RNA", at positions 524 to 776 of the family's 1533-position model. The record is from RNAcentral.
CACGUAGGGGGCGAGCGUUGUCCGGAUUUAUUGGGCGUAAAGAGCUCGUAGGCGGUUUCUUUAGUCGGGUGUGAAAACCCCAGGCUCAACCUCGGGCCUGCAGUCGAUACGGGCAAACUAGAGUACUGCAGGGGAGACUGGAAUUCCUGGUGUAGCGGUGAAAUGCGCAGAUAUCAGGAGGAACACCGGUGGCGAAGGCGGGUCUCUGGGCAGUAACUGACGCUGAGGAGCGAAAGCGUGGGGAGCGAACAGG